RNAcentral lists this ribosomal RNA (360 nucleotides) under Triticum aestivum (bread wheat). RNAcentral describes it as "partial small subunit ribosomal RNA". The record is from RNAcentral. Lineage: Eukaryota; Viridiplantae; Streptophyta; Magnoliopsida; Poales; Poaceae.
AUGGGAGUACAACCGAACACAGUUGUUUAUCACUCCCUAGUUCAGGGCUUAUGUACACAUGGUGAUUUGGCGAAAGCGAAGGAGUUAGUUUCUGAAAUGAUGAACAAAGGUAUUGCUCGUCCAAACAUUGCAUUCUUCAGUUCAAUAAUGGGCAGUCUAUGCAAUGAAGGAAGGGUUAUGGAAGCACACCAUAUCUUUGACUUGGUUACAGACAUAGGUGAGAAACCUGAUAUCAUUAUGUUUACUAUGCUGAUUGAUGGAUAUUGCUUAGUCGGCAAAAUGGACAAAGCAUGCGGAGUACUUGAUGCCAUGGUAUCAGCUGGCAUUGAGCCUAAUGUCGUUACAUAUAAUCUAUGUUUU